GAGUUUGAUCCUGGCUCAGGAUGAACGCUGGCGGCGUGCUUAACACAUGCAAGUCGAGCGAAGCAUUAAAACCGAUUUCUUCGGAAUGAAGUUUUAAUGACUGAGCGGCGGACGGGUGAGUAACGCGUGGGUGACCUGCCUCAUACAGGGGGAUAACAGACAGAAAUGUCUGCUAAUACCGCAUAAGCGCACAGUGCUGCAUGGCACAGUGUGAAAAACUCCGGUGGUAUGAGAUGGACCCGCGUCUGAUUAGCUAGUUGGUAAGGUAACGGCUUACCAAGGCGACGAUCAGUAGCCGGCCUGAGAGGGUGAACGGCCACAUUGGGACUGAGACACGGCCCAAACUCCUACGGGAGGCAGCAGUGGGGAAUAUUGCACAAUGGGGGAAACCCUGAUGCAGCGACGCCGCGUGAAGGAAGAAGUAUUUCGGUAUGUAAACUUCUAUCAGCAGGGAGGAAAAUGACGGUACCUGACUAAGAAGCCCCGGCUAACUACGUGCCAGC
This 503-nucleotide ribosomal RNA is filed under the name uncultured bacterium. Its description in RNAcentral is "bacterial SSU rRNA". It matches the Rfam family "Bacterial small subunit ribosomal RNA", at positions 9 to 512 of the family's 1533-position model. The record is from RNAcentral.